RNAcentral lists this ribosomal RNA (253 nucleotides) under uncultured bacterium. Its description in RNAcentral is "partial 16S ribosomal RNA". It matches the Rfam family "Bacterial small subunit ribosomal RNA", at positions 524 to 776 of the family's 1533-position model. The record is from RNAcentral.
UACGGGGGGGGCAAGCGUUGUUCGGAAUUACUGGGCGUAAAGGGUUCGUAGGUGGCCUGCUAAGUCAGACGUGAAAUCCCUCAGCUUAACUGGGGAACUGCGUCUGAGACUGGUGGGCUUGAGUGCAGGAGAGGAACGCGGAAUUCCAGGUGUAGCGGUGAAAUGCGUAGAUAUCUGGAGGAACACCGGUGGCGAAGGCGGCGUUCUGGACUGCUACUGACACUGAGGAACGAAAGCCAGGGGAGCAAACGGG